Coturnix japonica (Japanese quail) is the source of this 2741-nucleotide non-coding RNA. The record is from RefSeq and is a predicted model, not a curated record. NCBI's taxonomy places the organism in Eukaryota, Metazoa, Chordata, Aves, Galliformes, Phasianidae.
UUUUCCUUUCACUUUGGCUUACCAAAAAAGUUUCUUCAGUUUAAAAUUUCAGCAACUGUUUUUAACCUUCUUAGUUCAGGCAUUUUUUUUUCCUUGUUAUCUGCAGCACUUGCUAAUCUUAGGCGUUUUCAUUAUUUAAUAGUCCUAUAAAAUGUUAAAACCUCAUCUUGACUGUUGCUGAUAUAGUAGUAUUCAUCGAGUACUUUUUUUUUAAGCACUUUUUCAACUAGGAUUCCUAUAUUAUUUUUUAAACUCAAAAAGGAACCUGACAGCACUAAUAUAAUAUAAGUUAUUGCUUACAGCCUUCUAAAGGAGAACUAAAUAUUCUAUCCAUGCAGUAUCCAGAAUGAUGUGCAAAUCCAAAAUGCUUAGUUGUGAAAUGCUAACAGUGCUGAGAACAACCUGUUCUUUAAAGAUUUAACUGUAAAGAUCUCUUUAAAGGGAUCAGUGUUUAUUUCACUUUUAAGUAGAAAACAUGACUUAAACUAGUUGAUUAAUAUUUUUAAAAUUAGUGAUGUUAACCUGUUUUUCUGAUGACAAUGAUUGCUCAUGCUAAUCCUGCACAACCACUAUAGCAACUCAAAAUGCACAAUCUCUUCUUCAGAUGAGAUAUCUUGGAAGCGUGUCUGGGAUGUAUUUCAGGCUUUGCCUUCCACAGUCUUGCCAGCCUACCAUUAUUGGCUGGUGUUCUGUGCCAUUGUUGUUUCUUGUUUUUUAAUUUAGCAUGUUUACAUAUGGCAUAUAUCACAUCAAGUCUUACUUUGUAUAUUUUAGUGGUACGUGAUUCAAAUAAUAAAGGCAUUCAGAUAAAAUAUAUCUGCACUUAAGUAAUUCAGUUGCCUCCAGCUCUUUGUCUGUAUGUCAGAGGCCUGGACUUAUCUAUCUCAGACAGUACUCAAUUUGGUAUUGAUUCAUUUGAGUAGUUGGAGGAAUUGUAGCAGAUCCAAGGCUUGAAAUUCAUUAAUGAGAUCACAGAAUAACUCAGAUUGGACUGGAGAUCUACUGAGGUCUCUUCCAACCUCCUGCUCAAAGCAAGGAGAGUCUGAAAUUAGACCAAGGUGGUCAGGGCUUUAUUAUAUCUGGUUUCAAGUCUUCAGAGAUGGAGACUGCAUGAUAUUUCUGAGCAGAAUGUUCUACACACCUGUCAUUACAGUGAAAUUUACAAUGCUAUAGUGAAAGUCUUUAUAUCCAGUCAGAAAUAUUUCAGUAUCUACCCUUUUUUUUUUUUUCCAUCCUUGUACCAGAGUCUGGCUCUGUUUUCUUGAUGAUCUCCCAAAACAGUAACUUCAGUAACUUUUUUUCUCUUGACUGAACAGACAGAUUUAUUAGAAUUUUCUUAGAGCAUGGAUGAAAUAUUUUCUUGUCCAGAGUUCUGUGUAUUUUAAUAUGGAAUAGUCUGUUAACAUAGGAGAUAGUUUAAUCCGUUAUUAGUUACUAGACUUAACUUUAAAGCACUUUUUAAGCUACAAAUGGUUAACAAAACUGAAUUUCCCUUUAGUUCUAAUAUUACUGGUAUGCCUUAUGCAUAUUAACUCACAUAUCAUAAGUACAUAUAUAUUUGAAAGGGGGUCAUGAUCUUAUUUGAACUUGGUUUUCCAGAAAUUAAAUAGGAAAGACUUAUCAAAACCUAAAGAUUUUAAGGUUCCUUGUAUUAGUGAGCUUGCUGGCCCUGAGUAUUGUGGGAGUAGUGGGAAAUCUGGUCUAGAGUAGAAUCCUUAAUGGGCCACUGUUCCUGUCAAAAAUGAUCUGCACCAGCCUCGGCUUUCCAUAGGCCGUAGUUUCUUAAGUUUAAUAUCUAUCUGCUCCAGUGUGUGGGGGGUCCUCUAUGGGCUGCACUAUGGAUGUGUGUCCUGCCAUCAAGAACCACCUCUUCCUCCUCACAUUCCUUCUGCUGUUUCUCACUUUUUGUUCCAUUCUUCUCCAACUGAUGUUUUUCUGAUUUAUUUAUUUAUUUAUUUUUCCCCCCAGAAGUGUCACUUACAUGGCUUAACUGCAUCCUACAGGGAGCCUGUUUUGGAACUGUCUGGACCUAGCAGUGUCUGACAGGAGCCCUGACCUGCUCCCAUAGAGGGCCCUUUGCAUCCUCCCUAGUUGAAAUGUCUUGAUAUCUACACUCUGCACAAUAAUUUUUUGUCUUUUUACUACAUAACUUUAGUGGCUCAACAUAGUUUGUAGAAGCAUCUUAUAAAAGAUAUGGAUCUGACUUAAAAGCAUUGUAUUAUUAUCAGAUGAAUGUCUUCUGAAACAGUAGUAAAUAUUGUGAGAUGAAGUUCAGCUUACUUUUUCAUAUACAUUAAAGGGGAAAAUUUGCAGAGGAAAUGCUAGGCUUAAUCUGAUUCCAGCAUCACUACUUCUUUAUUCAAAAUAUGUAACGUGGAUAUAAUUAGUGGCUUUAAUACAGUCAUACACCUGUUAUGAGAGAAUGAUGUUGAAUUGUUAAUCUCUGCUUGGAAUUCAUGAAAUGACUCACUUGGAUCCUGUGUCAACUAACUGUACAGAUAGAAGCUUACAUGCAGUGACUCAUGAGUAUCUCACUAUAUUCAACCAGCCAGCACUUUACCAGUUUUUACCCUUCACCCUUUGCCAUCACUGCCUGAGCAACGGCAAAGAGCAAUUCAAAUAGUUCAGUCACUUAGCAGGUCUGACCAUCGGUGAACCAUUUAUAGUUAUAUUUAAGCUAGAAAUUGAUUUUUGGUUGCUGAUAUAGUAAUUUCUUGCACAUAACUCAUUACAAAAAAAAA